AGUAGUUGUAGAUGCAGUUGUUUCUACUGUUGUUGGUUCUGUGCUUGUUGUAGCCUGUGUAGUUGAUUCUGUGGUAGUAGUUAGUUCUGUUGUUGCUGCUGUAGAUGAUGUUGUACUUGAAGCUGUAGUUGUUUCCUCUGUAGUUGUUGCUUCCUCAGUUGGAGCUGGAGUAGUUGUAGAUGCAGUUGUUCCUACUGUUGGUUCUGUGCUUGUUGUAGCCUGUGUAGUUGAUUCUGUGGUAGUAGUUAGUUCUGUUGUUGCUGCUGUAGAUGAUGUUGUACUUGAAGCUGUAGUUGUUUCCUCUGUAGUUGUUGCUUCCUCAGUUGGAGCUGGAGUAGUUGUCGAUGCAGUUGUUCCUACUGUUGUUGGUUCUGCACUUGUAACCUUUGUAGUUAAUAGUUCUGUAGUUGGUAUUGUUGUCAGUACAGUUGUAGCUGUGGUUGUUUCCUCUGUUGUUGUUGCUUCCUCAGUUGUAGUUGUUGGAGCUGGAGUAGUUGUAGAUGCAGUUGUUUCUACUGUUGUUGGUUCUGUACUUGUUGUAGCCUGUGUAGUUGAUUCUGUGGUAGUGGUUAGUUCUGUUGUUGCUGCGGUAUUUAAUGUUGUACUUGGAGCUGUAGUUGUUGCUUCCUCAGUUGGAGUAGUUGGACCUGGAGUAGUUGUAGAUGCGGUUGUUCCUUCUGUUGUUGGUUCUCCACUUGUUGUAACCUGUGUAGUUGAUAGUUCUGUAGUUGUUAUUGUUGUCAGUACAGUUGUACUUGUAGUUUCCUCUGUAGUACUUGGUUCCUGAGUUGUAGUGGUUGGGGCUACAGUUGUUGUAGAUGCUGUUGUUGGUACUGUUGAUGGUUCUGUGCUUGUUGUAGCCUGUGUAGUUGAUUCUGUGGUAGUGGUUAGUUCUGUUGUUGCUGCUGUAGUUAAUGUUGUACUUAGAGCUGUAGUUGUUUCCUCUGUAGUUGUUGCUUCCUCAGUUGGAGUAGUUGGAGCUGGAGUAGUUGUAGAUGCAGUUGUUCCUACUGUUGUUGGUUCUGUGCUUGUUGUAGCCUGUGUAGUUGAUUCUGUGGUAGUAGUUAGUUCUUUUGUUGCUGCUGUAGAUGAUGAUGUACUUGGAGCUGUAGUUGUUUCCUCUGUAGUUGUUGCUUCCUCAGUUGGAGCUGGAGUAGUUGUAGAUGCAGUUGUUCCUACUGUUGGUUCUGUGCUUGUUGUAGCCUGUGCAGUUGAUUCUGUGGUAGUAGUUAGUUCUGUUGUUGCUGCUGUAGAUGAUGUUGUACUUGAAGCUGUAGUUGUUUCCUCUGUAGUUGUUGCUUCCUCAGUUGGAGCUGGAGUAGUUCUCGAUGCAGUUGUUCCUACUGUUGUUGGUUCUGCACUUGUAACCUUUGUAGUUAAUAGUUCUGUAGUUGGUAUUGUUGUCAGUACAGUUGUAGCUGUGGUUGUUUCCUCUGUUGUUGUUGCUUCCUCAGUUGUAGUUGUUGGAGCUGGAGUAGUUGUAGAUGCAGUUGUUUCUACUGUUGUUGGUUCUGUGCUUGUUGUAGCCUGUGUAGUUGAUUCUGUGGUAGUGGUUAGUUCUGUUGUUGCUGCUGUAGUUAAUGUUGUACUUGGAGCUGUAGUUGUUGCUUCCUCAGUUGGAGCUGGAGUAGUUGUAGAUGCAGUUGUUGCU
Molecule: long non-coding RNA, 1651 nt
Organism: Ictalurus punctatus (channel catfish)
Lineage: Eukaryota; Metazoa; Chordata; Actinopteri; Siluriformes; Ictaluridae
Source: Ensembl